This 560-nucleotide ribosomal RNA is filed under the name uncultured bacterium. RNAcentral's name for it is "bacterial SSU rRNA". It matches the Rfam family "Bacterial small subunit ribosomal RNA", at positions 338 to 916 of the family's 1533-position model. The record is from RNAcentral.
CCUACGGGAGGCAGCAGUGGGGAAUUUUGCGCAAUGGGGGAAACCCUGACGCAGCAACGCCGCGUGGAGGAUGAAGUCCUUCGGGACGUAAACUCCUUUCGACCGGGACGAUAAUGACGGUACCGGAAGAAGAAGCCCCGGCUAACUUCGUGCCAGCAGCCGCGGUAAUACGUAGGCAGCAAGCGUUGUUCGGAGUUACUGGGCGUAAAGGGUGUGUAGGCGGUUGCUUAAGUUUGGUGUGAAAUCUCCCGGCUCAACUGGGAGGGUGCGCCGAAUACUGAGUGACUCGAGUGCGGGAGAGGAAAGUGGAAUUCCUGGUGUAGCGGUGAAAUGCGUAGAUAUCAGGAGGAACACCGGUGGUGUAGACGGCUUUCUGGACCGUAACUGACGCUGAGACACGAAAGCGUGGGUAGCAAACAGGAUUAGAUACCCUGGUAGUCCACGCCCUAAACGAUGCACAUUUGGUGUGAGUCAUUCAGUUGAUUCGUGCCGGAGCUAACGCGUUAAAUGUGCCGCCUGGGGAGUACAGUCACAAGGCUGAAACUCAAAGGAAUUGACGG